This 530-nucleotide ribosomal RNA is filed under the name Rhinella rubescens (rusty toad). Its description in RNAcentral is "partial 16S ribosomal RNA". It matches the Rfam family "Bacterial large subunit ribosomal RNA", at positions 1836 to 2566 of the family's 2925-position model. Lineage: Eukaryota; Metazoa; Chordata; Amphibia; Anura; Bufonidae. The record is from RNAcentral.
CGCACUUUUAUAAGAGGUCCAGCCUGCCCAGUGACCAUGUUCAACGGCCGCGGUAUCCUAACCGUGCGAAGGUAGCGUAAUCACUUGUUCUUUAAAUGUGGAAUAGUAUGAAUGGCACCACGAAGGUUAUACUGUCUCCUUUUUUCUAAUCAGUGAAACUAAUCUCCCCGUGAAGAAGCGGGGAUACAGCUAUAAGACGAGAAGACCCUAUGGAGCUUUAACCAACACAGCAAUUACCAACUAAACUACAAAGUUUCUGAACAUUUUAAUAUUUUAAGUAAUCUGACUGCAAGUUUUUGGUUGGGGUGACCACGGAGCAUAACAUAACCUCCAUGUUGAAAGAAUUCUUUCUAAGCUAAGAACAACCUUUCUAGGCAUCAAUAUAUUGACAUCCAUUGACCCAAUACAUUUGACCAACGAACCAAGUUACCCUAGGGAUAACAGCGCAAUCCACUUCAAGAGCUCCUAUCGACAAGUGGGUUUACGACCUCGAUGUUGGAUCAGGGUAUCCCAGUGGUGCAGCCGCUACU